CUACGUGCCAGCAGCCGCGGUAAUACGGAAGGUCCAGGCGUUAUCCGGAUUUAUUGGGUUUAAAGGGAGUGUAGGCGGUUUGUUAAGCGUGUUGUGAAAUUUAGGUGCUCAACAUUUAACUUGCAGCGCGAACUGUCAGACUUGAGUACACGCAACGUAUGCGGAAUUCAUGGUGUAGCGGUGAAAUGCUUAGAUAUCAUGAAGAACUCCGAUUGCGAAGGCAGCAUACGGGAGUGUAACUGACGCUUAAGCUCGAAGGUGCGGGUAUCGAACAGGAUUAGAUACCCUGGUAGUCCGCACAGUAAACGAUGGAUGCCCGCUGUUAGCGCCUGGCGUUAGCGGCUAAGCGAAAGCAUUAAGCAUCCCACCUGGGGAGUACGCCGGCAACGGUGAAACUCAAAGGAAUUGACGGGGGCCCGCACAAGCGGAGGAACAUGUGGUUUAAUUCGAUGAUACGCGAGGAACCUUACCCGGGCU
RNAcentral lists this ribosomal RNA (477 nucleotides) under uncultured bacterium. RNAcentral's name for it is "bacterial SSU rRNA". It matches the Rfam family "Bacterial small subunit ribosomal RNA", at positions 501 to 981 of the family's 1533-position model. The record is from RNAcentral.